RNAcentral lists this transfer RNA (95 nucleotides) under Collybiopsis luxurians FD-317 M1. RNAcentral describes it as "Gymnopus luxurians FD-317 M1 tRNA". It matches the Rfam family "tRNA". Rfam says of the family: Transfer RNA (tRNA) molecules are approximately 80 nucleotides in length. Their secondary structure includes four short double-helical elements and three loops (D, anti-codon, and T loops). The record is from Rfam by way of RNAcentral. Lineage: Eukaryota; Fungi; Basidiomycota; Agaricomycetes; Agaricales; Omphalotaceae.
GGCGCUAUAGCCAAGUGGUUACGGCGACAGAUUUGAAUUUGGAUUUCAAUAUCUGUUCCUCUUUGAGGGCGCAGGUUCGAACCCUGCUGGCGUCG